UACGUAGGGGGCUAGCGUUGUCCGGAAUCAUUGGGCGUAAAGAGCGUGUAGGCGGUCCGGUAAGUCCGCUGUGAAAGUCGGGGGCUCAACCCUCGAAUGCCGGUGGAUACUGUCGGGCUAGAGUACGGAAGAGGCGAGUGGAAUUCCUGGUGUAGCGGUGGAAUGCGCAGAUAUCAGGAGGAACACCGAUGGCGAAGGCAGGUCUCUGGGCCACUACUGACGCUGAGAAGCGAAAGCAUGGGGAGCGAACAGG
This 253-nucleotide ribosomal RNA is filed under the name uncultured bacterium. Its description in RNAcentral is "partial 16S ribosomal RNA". It matches the Rfam family "Bacterial small subunit ribosomal RNA", at positions 524 to 776 of the family's 1533-position model. The record is from RNAcentral.